AUUGAACGCUGGCGGCAGGCCUAACACAUGCAAGUCGAGCGGUAGCACAGGAGAGCUUGCUCUCUGGGUGACGAGCGGCGGACGGGUGAGUAAUGUCUGGGAAACUGCCUGAUGGAGGGGGAUAACUACUGGAAACGGUAGCUAAUACCGCAUAACGUCUUCGGACCAAAGUGGGGGACCUUCGGGCCUCACGCCAUCAGAUGUGCCCAGAUGGGAUUAGCUAGUAGGUGGGGUAAUGGCUCACCUAGGCGACGAUCCCUAGCUGGUCUGAGAGGAUGACCAGCCACACUGGGACUGAGACACGGUCCAGACUCCUACGGGAGGCAGCAGUGGGGAAUAUUUCUCAAUGGGCGCAAGCCUGAUGCAGCCAUGCCGCGUGUGUGAAGAAGGCCUUCGGGUUGUAAAGCACUUUCAGCGAGGAGGAAAGGUGGUGUGUUAAUAUUACAUUGCUUUGACCUUCCUCCCACAAGAAGACCGUCUACUUCCCUUGCCGGCGGCGGGGGUUUACGCCCCGGUUGUUUUUUCUUUCAGAAUUACUCACCUCGUUGCGUGCGUAGAUGGUUAAGAGGGGAGGGGCGCAAAUCCCCCAUCACUCCAUGUAAUCGCGAAUGUAUCUGAUAUUGCUACUA
This 629-nucleotide ribosomal RNA is filed under the name uncultured Fusobacterium sp. Its description in RNAcentral is "bacterial SSU rRNA". The stretch from base 4 to 520 matches the Rfam family "Bacterial small subunit ribosomal RNA", at positions 31 to 542 of the family's 1533-position model. The record is from RNAcentral. Lineage: Bacteria; Fusobacteriati; Fusobacteriota; Fusobacteriia; Fusobacteriales; Fusobacteriaceae.